Molecule: long non-coding RNA, 1665 nt
Organism: Gymnodraco acuticeps
Lineage: Eukaryota; Metazoa; Chordata; Actinopteri; Perciformes; Bathydraconidae
Exons: 2
Source: RefSeq, a predicted model, not a curated record
UAAUAUCGGACCGAUAAUUAUCGUGCAUCCCUACUUAUUACCCAUAGGGGAUGAAGAGGAGUAAGUAAAUAAAGAGGCCGGUGCUCCAGGGUCUGGUUCUGCUGUGCGUUUUUGUGAUGUAAUGGUAAAACAUUUCAGAAUUCCUCCACGGGAGGCCAUUGUACAUCACUCAACCUGCGAAAUACACACACUUAGUACAUAGAAUGCGGGCACAGCUGUAGCUACAUGUGUGUAUUUCGCGGGUUUCUAAAUGUUUUGUGCGUGUGUGUUUAUCAUGGUGUUUAUGUUGACAAGGAGGUUUAAUAACUGUGUGCUACACAAAACGUGCAGUCGGUUUCAUUUUCAUCGCCGUUUGUAGUAGAGUUAGCAGGGUAUUUUUAUUUUAACUCUCGUCCCAAAAUUAUUUGUUAUCCUCCUUGACACCAUUUUUUUCGACGACGGGACGUCCUUAAGCUUGAGCCCUGCCAUGCACCAUCACCCCCACCUACACAGCAGCCAGACCCACUGUCUUGGAAGACAGACAAAGACCAUGGCACUGCUCCCCCUGUCUUUACAUUUAUAAUGAAUAGUUGGUUGAGAAAGUUCUGAUAUUGUCAGGGUUCGUACGGUCAUUUAAAAACCUGGAAAAGUCAUGGAAUGCAAUAUGCAGCUCUGCACAGCGGACUUGUAACACUAGCAGCAGUGGAGAUGGAGCAUCAGAACCUGGAGAAUACAGCAACAACAACAAGGAUCCAUUUGAAGAUAGCUGCUGGGCCUAGCAGCAAGAACCUCCAUCUGUGCCUGCACCCAGUUCAAGAUCUACCGUGGCUCAAGGGCCUACACCAGAGCCAUCACCACCAAGGACCAGAGGACCAGCAUCACUACAGCAGCCUCCACCUCCAUCUGUGCCUGCCACAAGAUUAAGAUACACCUCGGUACAAAAGCCUCCACCACAGCCAUCACGAUCAACCCAGCCAGCAAAGAAGUCUCGCCUAGCACACCUCCCUCCCGCCGACACAGCCACCAGCAGCCCAUGCACCAUCACCCCCACCUACACAGCAGCCAGACCCACUGUCUUGGAAGAAAGACAAAGACCAUGGCACUGCUCCCCCUGUCUUUACAUUUAUAAUGAAUAGUUGGUUGAGAAAGUUCUGAUAUUGUCAGGGUUUGUACGGUCAUUAAAAACCUGGAAAAGUCAUGGAAUGCAAUAUUUUUCCCAAAGUUUUGGAAAAGUCAUGGAAAUAGAACUAAAGUUGCAUCAAAUAUAAUUUAUAUGUUAUCUAAUCGCCGAAAUAGUAAUACUAUAAUGACAAUAAAUACUGUAUCUUAUAAUGAAAUGUAAAAUGGCAACUGUGGCAGUAUUUUGCUGGUGAGAGAUGUUUACAAUCAUGCCCUCUAGUCUACAGGAGCUACUAUUUGAUAUAAAGAUGCCAGGGAAGUGCAGUUUCAACACUGUAUGGCUUCUAAAGAAUAAGUAAUUGUGGUUAUCAAAAGACAUUGACCCAAGACGUGCUAAAUGCAAACUGUGUUGUAACAUAUUCAAUAUUUCGAAUAUGAAAGAGUCAUUUCUUUGGUCAUGGAAAAGUCAUUUAAAAUCAUUGGUGAAAAAGUGUAUGAACCCUGUAUUGUAAAUAUUGAGAUUUUACAGUUUCUUAUGUUAACAUAAAUAGUUGGUUGAAAAAAAAA